Molecule: ribosomal RNA, 496 nt
Filed under: uncultured bacterium
Lineage: Bacteria
Description: partial 16S ribosomal RNA
Rfam family: Bacterial small subunit ribosomal RNA
Source: RNAcentral
GAUGAACGCUGGCGGCGUGCCUAAUACAUGCAAGUCGAGCGAACGGACGAGAAGCUUGCUUCUCUGAUGUUAGCGGCGGACGGGUGAGUAACACGUGGAUAACCUACCUAUAGGACUGGGAUAACUUCGGGAAACCGGAGCUAAUACCGGAUAAUAUUUUGAACCGCAUGGUUCAAAAGUGAAAGACGGUCUUGCUGUCACUUAUAGAUGGAUCCGCGCUGCAUUAGCUAGUUGGUAAGGUAACGGCUUACCAAGGCAACGAUGCAUAGCCGACCUGAGAGGGUGAUCGGCCACACUGGAACUGAGACACGGUCCAGACUCCUACGGGAGGCAGCAGUAGGGAAUCUUCCGCAAUGGGCGAAAGCCUGACGGAGCAACGCCGCGUGAGUGAUGAAGGUCUUCGGAUCGUAAAACGCUGUUAUUAGGGAAGAACAUAUGUGUAAGUAACUGUGCACAUCUUGACGGGACCUAAUCAGAAAGCCACGGCUAACUACGU